This 1032-nucleotide long non-coding RNA is filed under the name Homo sapiens (human). RNAcentral's name for it is "colorectal neoplasia differentially expressed, transcript variant 2 (CRNDE)". The record is from RNAcentral. Lineage: Eukaryota; Metazoa; Chordata; Mammalia; Primates; Hominidae.
GCAGCCGCAGCCCCUGGCGCUAACGGUCGGUAACGGCCCGCGCGCGCCGCCCGCCGGGGGCUCGCGCCAGCCACGAGGGAGCGUCCGCGGCCCGCGCGCCCGCGCGGCGGAGGAGAGGUGAGCCCCCGCCCGGGCCAGGCCCUCUGGCCGCGCCGUCCGCCCCUCUAGUCGUGUCCCCUCGUGGGCCGAACGGACGCGGCGGUGCCCCGCGCCCGACCAGACGUCCCGUGGGCUAGGGCCUGGGCCUCGGGCCGCGUCGGCGCCGGUCGAGCCUCUCCGGGUGUCGGGGUUCGGGGCGGGCGCGCGUGGGCGUGGCUCCUCUGUCCACGCCUGUUCCCUUCGUCGCCGCGGCUCUCGUCCGGGACACGGCUUUCCGGAGUAGAGCCCUUGGAGGUGUUAAGUGUGAUGCUUCCAUAAUACAUUUGGAUGCUGUCAGCUAAGUUCACUUCUGAACUAAGGGGUUCCUCCAAAUGUUGGCUGAAAUUCAUCCCAAGGCUGGUCUGCAAAGUCUGCAAUUCAUAAUGGAGCUACUGUACUGGCUAUUGGAAGGAGGAGAUUCUGAAGAUAAGGAGGUAAAACCUGUUUAGAAAUUAAAAAUGAGUUACGAUUUAAAGAAAAUUCAGAUGACUCAUUGUGAGUGCUAGUUCUCUUGUAGGAUGCCACUGGAAAUGUUGAAAUGAAAAAUAUUCAGCCGUUGGUCUUUGAAAUUUCCUGUGAUGUGUUUCAAUCUAGAUGCAAAGAACAUGGAAAAAUCAAAGUGCUCGAGUGGUUUAAAUAUGUUUUGGGUAUUCCUGUUUAUAGACUAUAAUACUUUUCCAAUUAAAAUCCUCAGUUGUCACGCAGAAGAAGGUUAAGCUGUAUUUGAUUGCCAGUUUUACUGAAAAUGCUUAGUAUUUUACAGUAUCACCAAAUAUAUUUUGUUUAGCCAAGGUAUAGGAAAAAUAAAAUAAAUUGUAUAGGUUGACUUUUUUCUAAAAUGUCUUUAUUGGAUUGAAUGAAUGUUUAUACCUGAAAAAAAAAGGUUCAAAAAAA